AGGCCCUUUGAGCAGGGGUCAGCUGGCGAGAGGGCUUCUCCCGUGGCUCAGCGGUAAAGCAUCUGUCUGCAAUGCAGGAGAUGUGGCAAGAGCUGCGGGUUCCAUCUCUUGGUCGAGAAGAUUCCCCUGGAGAAGGAAUUGGCAACCCACUCCAGUAUUCCUGCCUGGGAAAUCCCGUGGAUAGAGGAGCCUGGCGGCCUAUGGUCCAUGGGGUCACAAAGAAUCGGACAUGGCUGAGAGAGUAAAUAACCACCACAGCUGGCGAGGGCAGAGGAGAGCGACUGCGAAGGGCCUCCUCCACCUGCCAGAAGAGGGGAGGGAAGGUAACAGCCUUGGGCUCGAGCCCGGGGACCUCUGCCAGCGGCCACGUCCAGCCCACAGCCCCAGGGAGGGCCAGGAGGAACCACAGAGCCCGAUCUCCCCAGGCUGGGGGCCGAGCCCAGGCGAACCCGCCUCCCCAGGGGGCUUCAGAUGCAGAAAUCAGCUUUCUGUCCUAGAAUGGAGCCCAGCCGCCCGGGCCUGUCGUCACAGCGUCCGAAGUCUGUCCCAUCAGAGGCCAGCUGCCCGGAGGGUAACGCAGGAUAACAGCUUUCCAACUGCUUCCAAGAACAAAAGCUUAACACCCUGGGAGAGUGCAAGGGGCAACAUGCAAGAAGGCAGGUGGAGGGAGCUCGAGCAGGAGACUGCGCCCCCUUCCCAAUUCUGCCCAUGUAGCCUGCCCCUUCCGGAAGAGUCAAAACCCACUCUCCCUCUGGGCCCGUCACUAGCAAACACAAGCGAUGCCCAAGCUCUGACAUCGGGGGAGGAGGCUGGAGACC
This is a long non-coding RNA of Bos taurus (domestic cattle), 818 nucleotides long. The record is from Ensembl. Lineage: Eukaryota; Metazoa; Chordata; Mammalia; Artiodactyla; Bovidae.